Molecule: long non-coding RNA, 265 nt
Filed under: Ricinus communis (castor bean)
Lineage: Eukaryota; Viridiplantae; Streptophyta; Magnoliopsida; Malpighiales; Euphorbiaceae
Description: long non-coding RNA (RCOM_LNC002557)
Source: RNAcentral
UAAAAAAUUAUUUAAACAAUAGAAUAUCCAACAAUCUCAGUUCCAUAAUUUUGUAUAAUUAUACAUAUAAUUUAACUUUACAACUUUUAAUAACACCAAAAAAAAAAAAUGCAAUCCAACACCGACCCAAUAGCAAAAUCUAUCAUUUGAUCUAAAAAAUUUUAAAAGAAAUGGAAAGCAAUAACUUCAAAAACAAAGAGGUUCUUAGUAACAUUAAUAUCCACAUCACAACUAGUGAUUUUUAAGGGUGCAUUGGCUUGUUGAU